UAUUGAAUAUGCCUCUAUAAGCUCUGGUCAACAACUUAUUCUGCAUUCACUCGCAAAUCACAAGGUCAUUUGCUACAAAUACAAAGCAUGAAUUGCAAUAAAUAAACAUAAUAACAAAUUGGGUGUGACAGAUCUAAUGGCGAUAGAUACAACCCUAACUAUACUCCAAGAGAAAACCAUAAUGUAUUUGUGCUUCCUCACUUGCUCAAUAACUGGCUCCUUCAAUGGACAGUGUGUCUCAUUACAAUUCCAAAUCUAAUUCUCCAUCUAGAACUAAGUGGAAGUUCUGUCUAAGGGUAGGCAAAACUCUCACAAAGGAGUCUGCUAAAGAAUUGUCCCUUUUCAUGCUUGACUCGGUGAUCUUACAUCAACAAGGCUAAGGUAAUUUAAUCCACUAUCAGCUGUUCUUGGUGCAGUUUGCGUCUGUACCAUGCUGGGUGCAAUGACGAUACCCAACAGAUUGACGAAAUUCUCGAAUCUCUUUAGAACCACUGUUACUUGCCUGCAACAACCGUUCAUCCUCCUCAUAAAUCAAAUACGGUGCCUUGCCUAAUUCUCUCGACGACAACUUCACGGCCCCCUUCAGAACAUGAUGCUCCCAGCCUUGAACAUCUAUUUUGACGAGAAGAACCGGUUCUGACUCUGGUAUCACUUUGUCUAGUGGGAUGGACCUUACUUGAAGUUCUAUUUCUUCAUUGGACUUGAAUGCCAACUUGGCACCGACUGAUGAGACAGCACUAUUAUCGAGCCGGCCAACCAACUGAAAACAUCAGUCAGCGUGGACAUGAUCAACACAACAAAAAGCAUAGUUAGAUACCAACAAUAAAAGAAUAAUUGUGCUCUCAAACUUCUUAUAAGAAUGACUGCAUCAAUAUCGGGAAUUCAAAACAUGAUCAGAUCAUAUGACAUAUGUGCUCAUGGAUGAUAUAUACAAAAUCCCUCCAAGUAUAAUAUAAAAUCCACAACAUAUGUAGGCCAAAAUUGCUGCAAUUGCAAUGAGAUUUAGGUGAUCCAAACGAGCUUUGGAAAAUCUGAACGAGAAGUAUAUUAGAAACUCCAUAUACCUAACAAACUUUGUCAAUCUGAACCAAAGGCAGCAACUCAAAAGUAAUAUAUUCUUCCCAAAUGAGCCAAAAGUAGCAACUCAAGCAAUAUAUUCUUCCCAAAUGAACCAAAAGCAGCAACAAUACCAAAAAUUCUAGCGAGAUAGAGACAUUCUACGCGAGACCAUCCACAAACUCAUGUCAGCAAUUUGCCCAGCCAUGCAGUUCAACAACCCACAAACCCAUACUGCGACAAACCCAUGUCAACGAAAUUUAAAAUAAAAUUUAAGUGAAAUCAAGACAACAUAAAUAUAAAACACCGCAAUUUCAAGAAGACAAUCAAGGCGUUCAGUGAGCAUCAAGCAAGCAAGUGAAUCUAAGCAAGCGUCGAAUGUAGGCGUCGGGCGAGCAUCGAACGAAGAUUUUGGGUGAGUCGAGCGUCGGACGGAGGCGUCGGACUGACGCACACAUCGGAUGGAGACAUCAAGCGAGCGUCAGUCAAAAGGAUUGGAUGGAGGCUUCGAACAGAGGUGUUGGGCGAGCGUUGGCUAGAGGGGUUGGACGGAGGCGUCGAGCAAAGGCGUUGGGCGAGCGAAGGCCAAAGGGUUUCGAUAGAGGUGUUGAACGGAGGCAUCCACCAAGAAUCAAUGUCAAGCACCAUGAAUCAAGGGAAGAUCCUCUCAAUUUAGGGUUCCCUGCUUGAUUUUGGG
Molecule: long non-coding RNA, 1753 nt
Filed under: Eucalyptus grandis
Lineage: Eukaryota; Viridiplantae; Streptophyta; Magnoliopsida; Myrtales; Myrtaceae
Description: long non-coding RNA (EGRA_LNC000972)
Source: RNAcentral